RNAcentral lists this unclassified non-coding RNA (345 nucleotides) under soil metagenome. RNAcentral describes it as "partial contains 5.8S ribosomal RNA, internal transcribed spacer 2, and large subunit ribosomal RNA". The stretch from base 1 to 120 matches the Rfam family "5.8S ribosomal RNA", at positions 35 to 154 of the family's 154-position model. The record is from RNAcentral.
GAUGAAGAACGCAGCGAAAUGCGAUACGUAAUGUGAAUUGCAGAAUUCAGUGAAUCAUCGAGUCUUUGAACGCACAUUGCGCCCCCUGGUAUUCCGGGGGGCAUGCCUGUCCGAGCGUCAUUGCUGCCCUCAAGCACGGCUUGUGUGUUGGGCCUCCGUCCUCCUCCCGGGGGACGGGCCCGAAAGGCAGCGGCGGCACCGCGUCCGGUCCUCGAGCGUAUGGGGCUUCGUCACCCGCUCUUGUAGGCCCGGCCGGCGCUUGCCGACACAUCAAUCUUUUUUCCAGGUUGACCUCGGAUCAGGUAGGGAUACCCGCUGAACUUAAGCAUAUCAAUAAGCGGAAGA